Molecule: ribosomal RNA, 537 nt
Filed under: Cytauxzoon sp. UR1
Lineage: Eukaryota; Apicomplexa; Aconoidasida; Piroplasmida; Theileriidae
Description: bacterial SSU rRNA
Rfam family: Eukaryotic small subunit ribosomal RNA
Source: RNAcentral
GGUAACGGGGAAUUAGGGUUCGAUUCCGGAGAGGGAGCCUGAGAAACGGCUACCACAUCUAAGAGAAGAGCAGCAGAGCGCGCAAAUUACCCAAUCCUGACACAGGGAGGUAGUGACAAGAAAUAACAAUACGAGUCUUAAAGUCUUGUAAUUGGAAUGACGGGAAUUUAAACCCUUUCCGGAGUAUCAAUUGGAGGGCAAGUCUGGUGCCAGCAGCCGCGGUAAUUCCAGCUCCAAUAGCGUAUAUUAAAAUUGUUGCAGUUAAAAAGCUCGUAGUUGAAUUUUUGCUAUAAUAUAUUUUUUUAUAUAAUCCUUUUUUAAUAGGUUAUUUAAAAUAUAUAUUAUUGGCUUUUUCUGUAUAUUAUUUAUUAUAUUAUAUACAUAUUAUUUGUAUAUAAUUAAUAUUUAAAUAAUAUUUGCAGAUUGUUACUUUGAGAAAAUUAGAGUGCUUCAAGCAGGCAUAUGCCUUGAAUACUUUAGCAUGGAAUAACUAAGUAGGACUUUGGUUCUAUUUUGUUGGUUUAAGAGCCAAAGUAA